CGUCUAUAUACGUAUAGCAUAUCAAUAAGCGGAGGAAAAGAAACUAACAAGGAUUCCCUUAGUAACGGCGAGUGAAGCGGGAAGAGCUCAAAUUUGAAAUCUUCAAGGUUCUACCUUGACGAAUUGUAGUUUAUAGAAGUGUUUUCUGUUAGUAGAGUGGCAAAAGUUCUUUGGAAUAGGACAUCAUAGAGGGUGAGAAUCCCGUAUUUGGUCAUUCUUUCUAGCUUUGUGAUACACUUUCAACGAGUCGGAUUGUUUGGGAAUGCAGUCCAAAAUGGGUGGUAAAUUUCAUCUAAAGCUAAAUAUUGGCGAGAGACCGAUAGCGAACAAGUACCGUGAGGGAAAGAUGAAAAGAACUUUGAAAAGAGAGUUAAACAGUACGUGAAAUUGUCAAAAGGGAAGCGUUUGACACCAGUGUUGUUUAGUUGAAAAUCAAUUCAAUAGUUUUUGAUUCUAAGUAGUAUUGACUUCAUCAGCUUGCUGCUUUCUUCUCAGAAAUUAUUGAAUGCACUUUUCAGUUAACAAGUCAACAUCAAUUUCUUUUGUUGUAAAAGGGUAAAAGGAAGGUGGCUUGCGCUUCGGCUCAAGUGUUUAUAGCCUUUUAUCUCUGCAAUCGGAGAGAUUGAGGUCUGCAGCGUAGAUCCUUCGGGGUUAGAUACAUUGGUGCUAAGCUAUAGCCUUGUAUAGACAACUUGUUGACUAUGCUCAGUCAUGUAGCUUACUCGCUGAUGCUAUUUUACCUACGCUUAGGAUGUUGACGCGCGUGUGUGGUG
This 773-nucleotide ribosomal RNA is filed under the name uncultured Neocallimastigales. RNAcentral describes it as "partial large subunit ribosomal RNA". It matches the Rfam family "Eukaryotic large subunit ribosomal RNA", at positions 26 to 639 of the family's 3401-position model. Lineage: Eukaryota; Fungi; Neocallimastigomycota; Neocallimastigomycetes; Neocallimastigales. The record is from RNAcentral.